This 606-nucleotide ribosomal RNA is filed under the name uncultured bacterium. RNAcentral describes it as "bacterial SSU rRNA". The stretch from base 65 to 606 matches the Rfam family "Bacterial small subunit ribosomal RNA", at positions 1 to 502 of the family's 1533-position model. The record is from RNAcentral.
UUGAUGUCGCCUAUGGGGAAUGGCCCGAGGUCCCAUGCUCCUGGCUGCCAUGGCGGCCGCGGAAUCGGCAUAGAGUAUGAUCCUGGCUCAGAGUGAACGCUGGCGCGGUAGAUUAGCAUGCGAGUCGAGCGAUAUUUUUUCUGGAUCGGAGAAGCCGCGAGGCUGAUCUGUUGAAGGAUAAAAAAUAUACCGGCAGAAAGGUGAGUAACACGAGAGUGAUUUACCUGUAAGUCGGGGAUGGCUUUGCGGAAGCGAAGGUAAUCCCCGAUGUGUUUACGAUGCAUAAGCAGUCGUAAGUAAGGUAGGCUCGCAAGAGUUUUCGUUUAGGGAUGAGCUCGCGUCCUAUCAGGUAGGUGGGGGGGUAGUGGCCUACCAAGGCAUUUGGAGGGUAGCUGGCUUGAGAGGGUGGUCGGCCACACGGGGACUGAGGCACCACCUAACUCCUACGGGGGGAUGCAGUCGAGGGGAUUUAGCAGUAGAGGGAAGCCUCCCUACGCACGCCGCGUGAGGGAUGGAGGUAUGCGGAUUGGAACAACCUUCGUUGGGGAAGAGACUUCCCUUAGCAAAACAGGUUGACGUUACCAGGAGAAGAAGCCACGGCCGACC